UGGGGAAUUUUGGACAAUGGGCGAAAGCCUGAUCCAGCAAUGCCGCGUGUGUGAAGAAGGCCUUCGGGUUGUAAAGCACUUUUGUCCGGAAAGAAAUCCUUGGCUCUAAUACAGUCGGGGGAUGACGGUACCGGAAGAAUAAGCACCGGCUAACUACGUGCCAGCAGCCGCGGUAAUACGUAGGGUGCAAGCGUUAAUCGGAAUUACUGGGCGUAAAGCGUGCGCAGGCGGUUUGCUAAGACCGAUGUGAAAUCCCCGGGCUCAACCUGGGAACUGCAUUGGUGACUGGCAGGCUAGAGUAUGGCAGAGGGGGGUAGAAUUCCACGUGUAGCAGUGAAAUGCGUAGAGAUGUGGAGGAAUACCGAUGGCGAAGGCAGCCCCCUGGGCCAAUACUGACGCUCAUGCACGAAAGCGUGGGGAGCAAACAGGAUUAGAUACCCUGGUAGUCCACGCCCUAAACGAUGUCAACUAGUUGUUGGGGAUUCAUUUCCUUAGUAACGUAGCUAACGCGUGAAGUUGACCGCCUGGGGGAGUACGGUCGCAAGAUUAAAACUUAAAU
This 559-nucleotide ribosomal RNA is filed under the name uncultured bacterium. RNAcentral's name for it is "partial 16S ribosomal RNA". It matches the Rfam family "Bacterial small subunit ribosomal RNA", at positions 355 to 906 of the family's 1533-position model. The record is from RNAcentral.